UACGUAGGUGGCAAGCGUUAUCCGGAUUCACUGGGCGUAAAGCGCGUGCAGGCGGUUUCGUAAGUCGGACGUGAAAGCUCCUGGCUUAACUGGGAGAGGUCGUUCGAUACUGCGGGGCUUGAGGUCGGGAGAGGGACGUGGAAUUCCCGGUGUAGUGGUGGAAUGCGUAGAUAUCGGGAGGAACACCAGUGGCGAAGGCGACGUCCUGGCCCGCACCUGACGCUGAGACGCGAAAGCGUGGGUAGCGAACGGGAUUAGAUACCCCGGUAGUCCACGCUGUAAACGGUGGGUACUAGGUGUUGGUGGCUAUCGUCAUCAGUGCCGUAGCUAACGCGUUAAGUACCCCGCCUGGGGACUACGGCCGCAAGGCUAAA
This 374-nucleotide ribosomal RNA is filed under the name uncultured bacterium. Its description in RNAcentral is "bacterial SSU rRNA". It matches the Rfam family "Bacterial small subunit ribosomal RNA", at positions 524 to 898 of the family's 1533-position model. The record is from RNAcentral.